AUCCCCAUCCCAUCCCAUCCCAUCCCCAUCCCCAUCCCAUCCCCAUCCCAUCCCCAUCCCAUCCCAUCCCAUCCCAUCCCCAUCCCAUCCCCAUCCCAUCCCCAUCCCAUCCCAUCCCCAUCCCAUCCCCAUCCCAUCCCCAUCCCAUCCCCAUCCCAUCCCAUCCCAUCCCAUCCCCAUCCCCAUCCCAUCCCCAUCCCAUUCCCAUCCCAUCCUUACUGGUAUCCCACUGGGAACAGUCUCCCGUCUCUCUCCGACAGCUCCGUCAGUGCCCCCAGGCUGUCAAUGCGGAUGGAGCCUAUCAUGAGGUGCACGGCCUCAGGCUCCAGCCCCCCCAGGAACUUCCUCUUGAGGCUCAAGCCCCCGAAGUCCACCAGGACCCUGCGAAGGACAGCGAAGCCUCCGUCCUGCACCAGCUCCUGCAGGGACAUAGAGACACAUUGGGAACCAUAGAGAGACAUUGGGAACCAUAGAGACCCAUAGAGACCCAUAGAGACACAGUGAGAGACAUAGAGAGACAUAGAGAGACAUAGAGACACAUAGAGACACAUAGAGACCCAUAGAGACACAGUGAGAGACAUAGAGAGACAUAGAGACACAUAGAGACACAUAGAGACACAUAGAGACACAGUGAGACACAUAGAGACACAUAGAGACACAUAGGGACACAGUGAGACACAGUGAGACACAGUGAGACACAGUGAGACACAUAGAGACACAUAGAGACCAUAGAGACGCAUAGAGACACAUAGAGACACAUAGAGACACAUAGAGACACAUAGAGACCCAUAGAGACGCAUAGAGACGCAUAGAGACGCAUAGAGACGCAUAGAGACGCAUAGAGACGCAUAGAGACCAUAGAGACACAUAGAGACACAUAGAGACACAUAGAGACCAUAGAGACCAUAGAGACACAUAGAGACACAUAGAGACCAUAGAGACACAUAGAGACACAUUGGGAACCAUAGAGACACAUUGGGAACCAUAGAGACCCAUAGAGACACAGUGAGAGACAUAGAGACACAUAGAGACACAUAGAGACACAUAGAGACACAUAGAGACACAUAGAGACACAUAGAGACCAUAGAGACCAUAGAGACACAGAGACACAUAGAGACCCAUAGAGCAGAAGGAGCAUGGCACUAUACUGCCCCCUGGUGGACGCACAGCAACGCGCUGCCUGGAGCCUGCUGGAACCCCCAUAGAAACCCCAUAGAGACACAUAGACACCCCACAGACCCCAUAGACACCCCAUAGCCCCCAUAGACACCCCAUAGACCCCAUAGACACCCCACAGACCCCAUAGACACUCACAGAGCCGUCCCGCAGGCGCGCGUGCCGCUGGCAGAACACCCUCUUGUCCCUCUGGAAUGCUGCUCGUCACCCCCAUAGACACCCCAUAGACCCCAUAGACACCCCAUAGACCCCAUAGACACCCCAUAGACACCCCAUAGACCCCAUAGACACCCCAUAGACACCCCAUAGCUCACAGAGCCGUCCCGCAGGCGCGCGUGCCGCUGGCAGAACACCCUCUUGUCCCUCUGGAAUGCUGCUCAUCGCCCCCAUAGACACCCCAUAUCCCCCCAUAGACACCCCAUAGACCCUACAGACACCCCAUAGACACCCCAUAUCCCCCCAUAGACACCCCAUAGACCCCAUAGACACUCACAGAGCCGUCCCGCAGGCGCGCGUGCCGCUGGCAGAACACCCUCUUGUCCCUCUGGAAUGCUGCUCGUCGCCCCCAUAGACACCCCAUAUCCCCCCAUAGACACCCCAUAGACCCCAUAGACCCCAUAGACACCCCAUAGACACCCCAUAGACCCCAUAGACACCCCACAGACCCCAUAGACACCCCAUAGACACCCCAUAGACCCCAUAGACACCAUAGACACUCACAGAGCCGUCCCGCAGGCGCGCGUGCCGCUGGCAGAACACCCUCUUGUCCCUCUGGAACGCUGCUCGUCGCCCCCAUAGACACCCCAUAUCCCCCCAUAGACACCCCAUAGACCCCAUAGACACCCCAUAGACACCAUAGACACCCCAUAGACACCCCAUAGACCCCAUAGACACCCCAUAGACACCCCAUAGACACCCCACAGACCCCAUAGACACCCCAUAGCUCACGGAGCCGUCCCGCAGGCGCGCGUGCCGCUGGCAGAACACCCUCUUGUCCCUCUGGAAUGCUGCUCGUCGCCUCCGCGCACACAUGAAGUGGUAGUUGGCCAAACAGGCGGCCAAGCAACAGCCGACGGUGGCCCCAGGGCGGCCACAGUGUUCACAGCGCUGGGGGGGAACAGGGGGGGGCAGUGGUAACCAUGGAGACAGUGGGAGUAACCAUAGGGCAUCAUUGGUAACCAUGGAGACAGUGGUGGUAACCAUGGGGCAUCAUUGGUAACCAUGGAGACAGCAGUAGUAACCAUGGAUACAGGGUUGGUACCCAUAGGGCAUCAUUGGUAACCAUGGAGACAGGAGGGGCAACCAUGGGGCAUCAGUGGUAACCAUGGAUACGGUGGGAGUAACCAUUGAUACAGGAUGGGUACCCAUAGGGACAUCAGUAGUACCCAUGGAUGCAUCACUGGUAACCAUGGAUACAUUGGGGUAACCAUGAGGCAUCAUUGGUAACCAUGGAGACAGCAGU
RNAcentral lists this long non-coding RNA (2638 nucleotides) under Melopsittacus undulatus (budgerigar). Its description in RNAcentral is "lncRNA (ENSMUNG00000020512.1)". Lineage: Eukaryota; Metazoa; Chordata; Aves; Psittaciformes; Psittaculidae. The record is from RNAcentral.